Molecule: small nucleolar RNA, 69 nt
Organism: Octopus sinensis (East Asian common octopus)
Lineage: Eukaryota; Metazoa; Mollusca; Cephalopoda; Octopoda; Octopodidae
Source: RefSeq, a predicted model, not a curated record
UUUUGGUGAUGAUUCUUUUGCUCUGAUAUAUAUUGAUGUUAUAAAACGAGCUUUUCAAAUCUGAAAAAU